AUUGAACGCUGGCGGCAGGCUUAACACAUGCAAGUCGGGCGGGGUGAUGGUGCUUGCACUAUCACUUAGCGGCGGACGGGUGAGUAAUGCUUAGGAAUCUGCCUAUUAGUGGGGGACAACAUCUCGAAAGGGAUGCUAAUACCGCAUACGUCCUACGGGAGAAAGCAGGGGAUCACUUGUGACCUUGCGCUAAUAGAUGAGCCUAGGUCGGAUUAGCUAGUUGGUGGGGUAAAGGCCUACCAAGGCGACGAUCUGUAGCGGGUCUGAGAGGAUGACCCGCCACACUGGAACUGAGACACGGCCCAGACUCCUACGGGAGGCAGCAGUGGGGAAUAUUGGACAAUGGGGGGAACCCUGAUCCAGCCAUGCCGCGUGUGUGAAGAAGGCCUUAUGGUUGUAAAGCACUUUAAGCGAGGAGGAGGCUCUUUUGGUUAAUACCCAAGAUGAGUGGACGUUACUCGCAGAAUAAGCACCGGCUAACUCUGUGCCAGCCGCCGCAGUAA
This 503-nucleotide ribosomal RNA is filed under the name uncultured bacterium. RNAcentral's name for it is "partial 16S ribosomal RNA". It matches the Rfam family "Bacterial small subunit ribosomal RNA", at positions 30 to 523 of the family's 1533-position model. The record is from RNAcentral.